UUUGUCCCAAUCUUGUUUUUUUUUUAAUUUGGAUCUGGUUUUUCUUCCCAUCUGACAACUGCUGAAUUUUUAGCUUCUAUAACUUGACGAUACUCCUACAAACAAUAAAAAUAAAUUUGAUCGCUGUUGGUUUGACUAUAAAUACUACCUUAUAUAGUGCUCCAUAGUGUGAAAAAUACUCGUGUAUACAACAACCCCAAGUAAAAUGCCUCAAUAGAAACAUAAAAGAUUUAUCUUAUGUUUUGCAUGGUGAUUUUGUCCAAGCGAGUGUUAUAGUGGAUGACUUUUCAAGGGAUGCUCCGAUGUUCUCUACGUGUUUAUAUAUUGUCUCUACUCCAAAAGAUAAAUAUCAUAUGAUAUAUAUGUAUAUAUAAUUGUUCAAAUUUGAUUCGUGUGGAAAGAAACGGGCUAUCGCUUUGGUUUGCGAGUUUAAAGAACUUGAAUCAAAAUGUAAGUCACUUCACAGUUUUCGCGAAAGAAAAAGGGACCACUCACAAGUAAGUCACUUCAAAGUUAAUGUUGUUCCUUUUUUAAAAGCAUAGCUAUUAAACUCCAAUCUCGAAAUAAUAGAUAUCAUCCACCACAAGCUUCAGAAAACUCAUCACGUGCUCGUCGUUUCGCUUACGAACCACUCCAAACGAUUAGCAUCAAAAGAGGCGUUGGGAUGCCUUCACUGCCGCUAGUAGAACCAGCCGAGGAAGAGACUACUGUGUCUCGGUAGCCCAACACGCGUCUCUCCACAGAAUCCUCGCGACCGUCGAGACACUUGCUCUACUUUAAGAGGACAUGAACGGAGAGAUUCCAAUCAUGUGGAGUGUCGUCAAAGGCAAAAAAAGCCUCGCCACCUCCGACCACCACGUCUCGAUGCUAUGACUGGUACAAUUACUUUUCCCUUUCUCUACGUUCAUUUGUGAGUGAGCGAGGGUAAACCGAGCGUAUCUACACAUGCUGGAUCCCCGGGGAACAGCACGUGGGGCCCACGAAUCUGACUCACGUGCCGGUGUUAGCAAAUAAAUGUGUUGCUACGUAAUGCCUAUAAUAAUUAUGUUGUUGAGAAAUUUCGAAGAGAAUCACAUUUGCAACAAAAAAAUAAAAAUAAAAAUUAAUUUCUUAAAAUAAUUUUAUCGAAUCAUCGUACGAAAAUCGAAAAUAUAAAACUUUGAAAAAUCAAAAACUGUAUAAAGGGUGUAAGACAUUCUCACUGUUAGGAAACUCGUAUAUCCUUUAAGAUCACAUAUUCCAAUCUGGUAAAGGAGCCUUUGCAAACUUCCCUCUAGCAUGUUCUUUAUUACGAACGCAACGAACGCAACGAACGCAAUAACAACAUACCUUAUUACGCAGCAUGUUCUUUAUUCGCGAUCGUGCAUCACCACGCAGCAACACACAAUGAGGGAUCGAUCUCUCUUGUUAUCCUCUCGCACCAAAGAGAGGGCAAUCAGUUGAAAGAAGAAAA
RNAcentral lists this long non-coding RNA (1453 nucleotides) under Musa acuminata (dwarf banana). RNAcentral describes it as "long non-coding RNA (MACU_LNC004503)". The record is from RNAcentral. Lineage: Eukaryota; Viridiplantae; Streptophyta; Magnoliopsida; Zingiberales; Musaceae.